ACAUUUUCAUUUGGUUUUUGUAUCCAUAAAAUUGAUUUAAAUGGAGCUAAACAAAAUGAAAAACCAAUUCUCAUUUAAAGAGACAAAACAAUUUUGUUCUCAUCCUAUUUGGGCCAUCAUGCAAUAAACUCAACUUUUGGGCCAUAUUGCAAUAACAAACUUUUGGGGUCACUUUGUACAAUACACAAAAGUCACUACUUCAUGUAAAUACAACUAGAACCCAAACUUUUAAUAAUGCAAAAACUUCAUUAAAGGAUCAAAACAAUUUGUCCUUUAGCGUUUUUGGACCUAAACGUAAAAACGUAAACUUUUGGGCCAAAGUGCAAAUACACAAAAGUAUCAAAACUUUAUGUAAUUGCAUAAAAGCCCCAAAAGUACUCCCUUUGAGGGAGUGGCCGGUUUUGGGGAGGGAUAAGGUUGGUGUGUGUGUUGAUUUGUGAGUUUUGUCAAAAACAUGCAAGUGUAUGUAAGAUAAGUUUUGAAAUAAUUCAAUCACAAUUAUUUCAAUCAUCAUUUAUACAAAUAUCUAACACUUUAAAUACAUGAUAAAUCAUUUAAAAAACAUAUCACAUAAACUUUAUGAAAUAAAUCAAAACUUUGAAUCAAAACACCAAACCUUUUUGUUCUUGGCAAGAACAUCAAGAACAAUGAAGAACAUCCAUGAAAAACCCAAAUUUUUUCAAGAACUUUUUUCACCCAAAAACAUUCCAAAACCAUUCUUACUUAAGGGAAAUAACAUCUAACCAAACUAGGGUACUUAGGGGUUCCAAAGAACACAUUAAAACACUUUUAACAAGUCAAACAAGAACCCAAAAAUCCACCCUUUGGUUUUGGCCGAAUUUUCCCAAAAGCAUGGCACCAAAUUUUAGCUCCAAUAUUCAUGCUCAUAUGAACAACAUCUACAACAUUUGAGAUGGCAAAUUUUCCAACAAAAUUUACUUUCAAAGAAGCAAGAAUAAAGCUUGUAACAAUUACAACUUUUAAAUCACAAACUAUGAACUACAAAAACACAAAAGGAUUCACCAACUACUAGACCUAGGCUCUGAUACCACUUGAAGGAAAUCUUUUGGGAAACAUGUUCAUUUGAGCAACAUCAUAUAGCAUGCAAUUAACAAUUAAAGGCGGAAUCAUGCUUGCAUGCACUC
Molecule: long non-coding RNA, 1145 nt
Filed under: Malus domestica (apple)
Lineage: Eukaryota; Viridiplantae; Streptophyta; Magnoliopsida; Rosales; Rosaceae
Description: long non-coding RNA (MDOM_LNC018294)
Source: RNAcentral